This 465-nucleotide ribosomal RNA is filed under the name uncultured bacterium. RNAcentral's name for it is "partial 16S ribosomal RNA". It matches the Rfam family "Bacterial small subunit ribosomal RNA", at positions 338 to 795 of the family's 1533-position model. The record is from RNAcentral.
CCUACGGGUGGCAGCAGUGGGGAAUAUUGCGCAAUGGGCGAAAGCCUGACGCAGCGACGCCGCGUGAGGGAUGAAGGUCUUCGGAUCGUAAACCUCUGUCAGCAGGGAAGAACGGUCACUGUGCUAAUCAGCAGUGAAUUGACGGUACCUGCAAAGGAAGCACCGGCUAACUCCGUGCCAGCAGCCGCGGUAAUACGGAGGGUGCGAGCGUUAAUCGGAAUUACUGGGCGUAAAGCGCUCGUAGUCGGUAUGUCAAGUCAAGGGUGAAAUCCCCGCGCUCAACGUGGGAACUGCCUUUGAAACUGGCAAACUGGAGUGUGUGAGAGGAUAGUGGAAUUCCAGGUGUAGGAGUGAAAUGCGUAGAUAUCUGGAGGAACAUCAGUGGCGAAGGCGACUAUCUGGCACAUAACUGACGCUGAGGAGCGAAAGCGUGGGUAGCAAACAGGAUUAGAUACCCUGGUAGUC